This 582-nucleotide ribosomal RNA is filed under the name Trechus alicantinus. RNAcentral describes it as "partial 16S ribosomal RNA". The stretch from base 341 to 499 matches the Rfam family "Bacterial large subunit ribosomal RNA", at positions 2473 to 2632 of the family's 2925-position model. The record is from RNAcentral. Lineage: Eukaryota; Metazoa; Arthropoda; Insecta; Coleoptera; Carabidae.
AAUGGCUGCAGUAAUUUGACUGUACAAAGGUAGCAUAAUCAUUAGUUUUUUAAUUAAAAGCUUGUAUGAAGGGUUGGACGAAAUAAAAUCUGUCUCUUUUUAAUAUAAUUAGAAUUUAAUUUUUAAGUUAAAAAGCUUAAAUAAAUUUAAAAGACGAGAAGACCCUAUAGAGUUUAAUAAUUUUUUUUUAUUAAUUAAUUUAGAUUUAUUUAUUUUAUUUAAAAAAAAUUAUUUUAUUGGGGUAAUGGAAAGAUUUAAAUAAUUCUUUUUUUAAUAAAUCAUUAAUUUAUGAAAGUUUAUGAUCCAUUGAGUUUUGAUUAUAAGAUUAAAUUACCUUAGGGAUAACAGCGUAAUUUUUUUAAAGAGUUCAUAUCGAUAAAAAAGUUUGCGACCUCGAUGUUGGAUUAAAGAUUAAUUUAGGUGUAGAAGUUUAAAUUUUUGGUCUGUUCGACCAUUGAAUCUUUACAUGAUCUGAGUUCAAACCGGUGUAAGCCAGGUUGGUUUCUAUCUUUAAAAAGAUUUGAUAUUUUAGUACGAAAGGACCAAAUAUUAUAUAUAUAAAUAUUUAAAUUAUUGAAUAUU